AAGAGUUUAGACAAAAACAGAAGUAAAGAGACAAUUUUGGAUCGAUAGUUAUAAAUCAAGAGUUGGAAUCAAGAACUCAAUAAGUGUAUCUAUCUUAAUCAGGUGCGUAGUAAUCUGCCGGACCUAGGAGUUGCUGUUACCUGACCUGGCAGAUGCAAAAGAGAUGGAAUUGAAGUAAAAAUCAGAAGUCUUGUCCAGACCUGGGAGAAUUAAAAGUUGGCGACAUGAACAGAAUGGAGCAUGAGCAUAUCAUUUUAAAAGUUUUACUCAAGGGAAAGAGCGUCAAAUCACCAGAGGGAUACCCUAGGGAUCAGAGCCUCACAUAUAUAAAGAGCUCAACCUUGAAGAACAAAACAGCCACUUCUGCACACUUUAGUUCAAGCUCUCGUUCUAUGCCCUAGUUCCAAACUUCAAAUUUCUCAUUUUCACUUGCUACGCACUUGGAGAUGGAGUGAUCUUGGCCACCAUGGUUCCAUCGUUAUUUUGCUGCUGUGUAACAUCGCCUUGUGAAGGCGAAGAAAUAAUAUUUACUUUGCUUUGCUUAGUUUACUUUCGGUUUCAA
Molecule: non-coding RNA, 562 nt
Organism: Salvia hispanica
Lineage: Eukaryota; Viridiplantae; Streptophyta; Magnoliopsida; Lamiales; Lamiaceae
Source: RefSeq, a predicted model, not a curated record